This 400-nucleotide ribosomal RNA is filed under the name uncultured bacterium. RNAcentral describes it as "partial 16S ribosomal RNA". It matches the Rfam family "Bacterial small subunit ribosomal RNA", at positions 338 to 735 of the family's 1533-position model. The record is from RNAcentral.
CCUACGGGAGGCAGCAGUGAGGAAUAUUGGUCAAUGGACGAAAGUCUGAACCAGCCAAGUCGCGUGCAGGAUGACUGCCCUAUGGGUUGUAAACUUCUUUUAUACGAGAAUAAAACGAGGCACGUGUGCCUUUUUGCAUGUACUUUAUGAAUAAGGAUCGGCUAACUCCGUGCCAGCAGCCGCGGUAAUACGGAGGAUCCGAGCGUUAUCCGGAUUUAUUGGGUUUAAAGGGUGCGUAGGUGGGUGGUUAAGUCAGUGGUGAAAGUCUGCGGCUCAACCGCAAAAUUGCAAUUGAUACUGGCAGUCUAGAGAGUAGUUGCGGUAAGCGGAAUUCGUGGUGUAGCGGUGAAAUGCUUAGAUAUCAUGCAGAACCCCGAUUGCGAAGGCAGCUUACCAAGCU